ACGCAGCAAAAUGCGAUAAGUAAUGUGAAUUGCAGAAUUCAGUGAAUCAUCGAAUCUUUGAACGCACAUUGCGCCCGCCAGUAUUCUGGCGGGCAUGCCUGUUCGAGCGUCAUUUCAACCCUCAAGCUCAGCUUGGUGUUGGGACUCGCGGUAACCC
RNAcentral lists this ribosomal RNA (157 nucleotides) under Fusarium chlamydosporum. Its description in RNAcentral is "5.8S ribosomal RNA". The stretch from base 1 to 112 matches the Rfam family "5.8S ribosomal RNA", at positions 43 to 154 of the family's 154-position model. From Rfam's summary of the family: 5.8S ribosomal RNA (5.8S rRNA) is a component of the large subunit of the eukaryotic ribosome. The record is from RNAcentral. Lineage: Eukaryota; Fungi; Ascomycota; Sordariomycetes; Hypocreales; Nectriaceae.